CAUAACGUUCCACUUGGGGCUGUGGCGCCAACUAGAAUCGAAUUGGCAAUCAGUUCGUGUUGAAAAUGCCACCGCGUUGGUUGUGCAACGCAUGAAAACGUUCGCAUCGACGCAAUUUUGAAGCCGUCAUAACGGUAGAUAGUCGAAUACGUGCACUGUACGUGUCUGUGUCUGUGUGGGUGUGUGUAUCAAUAUGCCUGUGUGUGGGUGCCGAAGUGAAGAGCGUUCGUUGUCGUGCUACGAAGUCGUGAUCGCAGCCGCGUUUCCGUCGUACGCAUUCAGUUGGCAAUGAGUCCUCGAAUUGAACAAAAGUGCAAGGAUUUAAGCGUGGAUUGAUGCUCAAGUAAAUUAAUUGAAUAGUACAGUGAAUAAUCCCAAAAGUGAAUGCCGCACGCUGAGCAGCUGCAACGGCUACGUGCUUCACACUGUGAAAUAUAUUUUGGACAAGCAACAAUUCGAAAUGGAAUUAUUAAUCAAAUCAACAAAUUGACUCUGAGUGGGUGUUUGUGAGUGACAAUAUGUGUGUGUGUGUGUGUGUGCUUGAAAUAGUACAUUUAUGUACUCACGCUCAUUUGUUAUACAUUUACAGAUUUGAAAUCAAGACUAGCUCAAGUGAAUAAUUCGUGCUACAGCUAAGCCAAUCAUAAAAUAUGUUCAAACUAACAUAAAUAAUACGCGCAACAGCAAGUAGAGCGACAGAGACAACAUUAAAUAGAUAUAUAAAAACAAGAAAAAAACAAAUCAAAUAUUAAGCAAACUGUCAAGCCGGUUACCGCCUCUAGAGUGCAUCUACAGUAGCCGCAGCAACAACAACUAAAAACUUGACCGAAUUUCCAAUCAAUUUGGAGUCUCCGAUCUCGCCCAGAUUAUUCGUAGCCGUUGAUGUCGGCUUCAAGAUCGCAAUCGCAAUCGCAAACCCAAUGAUUUAUUCAG
Drosophila arizonae is the source of this 933-nucleotide long non-coding RNA. The record is from RefSeq and is a predicted model, not a curated record. NCBI's taxonomy places the organism in Eukaryota, Metazoa, Arthropoda, Insecta, Diptera, Drosophilidae.